RNAcentral lists this ribosomal RNA (435 nucleotides) under uncultured bacterium. RNAcentral's name for it is "partial 16S ribosomal RNA". It matches the Rfam family "Bacterial small subunit ribosomal RNA", at positions 28 to 507 of the family's 1533-position model. The record is from RNAcentral.
GAUGAACGCUGGCGGUAUGCUUAACACAUGCAAGUCGAACGGACUCUUCGGAGUUAGUGGCGGACGGGUGAGUAACGCGUGAGGAUCUGGCUUUGGGUUCGGGACAACCACUGGAAACGGUGGCUAAUACCGGAUGUGCCGAGAGGUAAAAGAGAAAUUGCCUGAAGAUGAGCUCGCGUCUGAUUAGCUAGUUGGUGAGGUAAGGGCUCACCAAGGCAGCGAUCAGUAGCUGGUCUGAGAGGAUGACCAGCCACACUGGGACUGAGACACGGCCCAGACUCCUACGGGAGGCAGCAGUGGGGAAUUUUCCGCAAUGGGCGAAAGCCUGACGGAGCAAUACCGCGUGAGGGAAGAAGGCUCUUGGGUUGUAAACCUCUUUUCUUAGGGAAGAACAAAAUGACGGUACCUAAGGAAUCAGCAUCGGCUAACUCCGUG